AUGGGCUCCCAUGUGGCUGUCUUUGAUGAUGUCAUCAAGGUGUUCAGUGACAUGAAAGUGUGCAAGUCUUCAACACUAGAAAAGGUGAAGAAGCGCAAGAAGUUGCUGCUCUUCUGCCUGAGUGAGUACAAGAAGUACAUCAUCCUUGCGGAGGCCAAGAAGAUCCUGGUAAGUAAUGUGGACCAAACCAUUGAUGAUCCCUAUGCCACUUUUGUCAAGAUGCUGACAGUAAGGACUGCCGCUACGCCCCUUAUGACGCCACCAAGGACAGCAAGAAGAAGGACCUGGUGUUUAUCUUCUGGGCCUCUGAGUCUGCAUCCAUUAAGAGCAAAAUGAUCUAUGCCAGCUCCAAAGACGUCAUCAAGAAGCAGCUAGGGGUCAGCACUGUCGUCUUCUUGGAGGGCAAACUUU
This 411-nucleotide long non-coding RNA is filed under the name Homo sapiens (human). RNAcentral describes it as "non-protein coding lnc-PTEN-6:4". Lineage: Eukaryota; Metazoa; Chordata; Mammalia; Primates; Hominidae. The record is from RNAcentral.